RNAcentral lists this transfer RNA (63 nucleotides) under Phagocata gracilis. Its description in RNAcentral is "tRNA-Phe". The record is from RNAcentral. Lineage: Eukaryota; Metazoa; Platyhelminthes; Tricladida; Planariidae.
AACAAUAUAGCUUAAAAAAAAGUAAAGUUUUGAAGCUACUAAGAUGGUUUUGUCCUGUUGUUA